This is a non-coding RNA of Trichomonas vaginalis G3, 1178 nucleotides long. The record is from Rfam. Lineage: Eukaryota; Parabasalia; Trichomonadida; Trichomonadidae.
GACUGCGAGAAGGGCGCCUGAGAGAUAGCGACUAUUCCACGGGUAGCAGCAGGGGGAACUUCCCACUCGAGACUUUCGAGAGUAUGACCAGUCCAUUGGUGCUUUGUACUGUGGAUAGGGGUACGGUUUUCACGUACCGAAACUAGCAGAGGGCCAGUCUGGUGCCAGCAGCUGCGGUAAUUCCAGCUCUGCGAGUUUGCUCCCAUAUUGUUGCAGUUAAAACGCCUGUAGUCUGAAUUGGCCAGCAAUGGUCGUACGUAUUUUUACGUUCACUGUGAACAAAUCAGGACGCUUAGAGUAUGGCCACAUGAAUGACUCAGCGCAGUAUGAAGUCUUUGUUUUCUUCCGAAAACAAGCUCAAUGAGAGCCAUCGGGGGUAGAUCUAUCUCAUGACGAGUGGUGGAAUACUUUGACUCAUGAGAGAGAAGCUGAGGCGAAGGCGUCUACCUAGAGGGUUUCUGUCGAUCAAGGGCGAGAGUAGGAGUAUCCAACAGGAUUAGAGACCCUGGUAGUUCCUACCUUAAACGAUGCCGACAGGAGUUUGUCAUUUGUUAAUGGCAGAAUCUUUGGAGAAAUCAUAGUUCUUGGGCUCUGGGGGAACUACGACCGCAAGGCUGAAACUUGAAGGAAUUGACGGAAGGGCACACCAGGGGUGGAGCCUGUGGCUUAAUUUGAAUCAACACGGGGAAACUUACCAGGACCAGAUGUUUUUUAUGACUGACAGGCUUCGGGUCUUUCAGGAUAUUGUUUUUGGUGGUGCAUGGCCGUUGGUGGUGCGUGGGUUGACCUGUCUAGCGUUGAUUCAGCUAACGAGCGAGAUUAUCGCCAAUUAUUUACUUUGCCGAAGUCCUUCGGUUAAAGUUCUAAUUGGGACUCCCUGCGAUUUUAGCAGGUGGAAGAGGGUAGCAAUAACAGGUCCGUGAUGCCCUUUAGAUGCUCUGGGCUGCACGCGUGCUACAAUGUUAGGAUCAAUAGGACUGCGAGCCUGAGAGGGUGCGCUACUCUUAUAAUCCCUAACGUAGUUGGGAUUGACGUUUGUAAUCAGCGUCAUGAACCAGGAAUCCCUUGUAAAUGUGUGUCAACAACGCACGUUGAAUACGUCCCUGCCCUUUGUACACACCGCCCGUCGCUCCUACCGAUUGGAUGACUCGGUGAAAUCACCGGAUGCUACGAGCAGA